CAGUAGCCGCGGUAAAACGAACCGAGCGAACGUUGUUCGGAAUCACUGGGCUUAAGGGGCGCGUAGGCGGGCUAUCAAGUCUGGGGUGAAAUGCCACGGCUCAACCGUGGAACUGCCUCAGAUACUGACGGCCUCGAGGGAGGUAGGGGCAUGUGGAACUGUAGGUGGAGCGGUGAAAUGCGUUGAUAUCUACAGGAACUCCGGUGGCGAAAGCGACGUGCUGGACCUUCUCUGACGCUGAGGCGCGAAAGCUAGGGGAGCAAACGGGAUUAGAUACCCCUGUAGUCCCUGUCUCUUAUAC
This 301-nucleotide ribosomal RNA is filed under the name uncultured bacterium. Its description in RNAcentral is "partial 16S ribosomal RNA". It matches the Rfam family "Bacterial small subunit ribosomal RNA", at positions 509 to 807 of the family's 1533-position model. The record is from RNAcentral.